This 492-nucleotide ribosomal RNA is filed under the name uncultured bacterium. Its description in RNAcentral is "partial 16S ribosomal RNA". It matches the Rfam family "Bacterial small subunit ribosomal RNA", at positions 29 to 507 of the family's 1533-position model. The record is from RNAcentral.
AGUGAACGCUGGCGGUAGGCCUAACACAUGCAAGUCGAAUGGCAGCACAGUAAGAGCUUGCUCUUACGGGUGGCGAGUGGCGGACGGGUGAGGAAUACAUCGGAAUCUACUUUUUCGUGGGGGAUAACGUAGGGAAACUUACGCUAAUACCGCAUACGACCUACGGGUGAAAGCAGGGGAUCUUCGGACCUUGCGCGAUUGAAUGAGCCGAUGUCGGAUUAGCUAGUUGGCGGGGUAAAGGCCCACCAAGGCGACGAUCCGUAGCUGGUCUGAGAGGAUGAUCAGCCACACUGGAACUGAGACACGGCCCAGACUCCUACGGGAGGCAGCAGUGGGGAAUAUUGGACAAUGGGCGCAAGCCUGAUCCAGCCAUACCGCGUGAGUGAAGAAGGCCUUCGGGUUGUAAAGCCCUUUUGUUGGGAAAGAAAAGCAGCAGGUUAAUACCCCGCUGUUCUGACGGUACCCAAAGAAUAAGCACCGGCUAACUUCGUG